Molecule: non-coding RNA, 76 nt
Organism: Myotis lucifugus (little brown bat)
Lineage: Eukaryota; Metazoa; Chordata; Mammalia; Chiroptera; Vespertilionidae
Source: Rfam
GAGACACCCUUCUGGGGCAAGACUUGCUUCAGUGGGGCUUUGGUGCUCACUGAAUCUGCCCCCUGAGUGUGUCCCU